This 905-nucleotide ribosomal RNA is filed under the name Segestria sp. CASENT9037957. Its description in RNAcentral is "partial 16S ribosomal RNA". The stretch from base 1 to 486 matches the Rfam family "Bacterial large subunit ribosomal RNA", at positions 1919 to 2925 of the family's 2925-position model. Lineage: Eukaryota; Metazoa; Arthropoda; Arachnida; Araneae; Segestriidae. The record is from RNAcentral.
GAAUAUAAAUAGCCGCAGAACUUUUACUGUGCUAAGGUAGCAUAAUCACUUGCCUUUUAAUUAAAGGAUAGAAUGAAUGGACAAACAAGUAUUAAACUAUUUCAAUUACAACAUAUAAAAUUUCAAUAAAAGUAAAAAUACUUUUAAUUAAAAGGAAGACGACAAGACCCUAUCGAACUUUACAUUAGUUAAGCUGGGGCGGCACAUUAAAAAAAUCUUAAUUUCAAUUUCACAACAAAUCUAAACAAAUUAAAUUUAACAAGUUACCGUAGGGAUAACAGCAUAAUAAAUUUUUAAAGCUCUCAUUUAAGAAUAAGAUUGUGACCUCGAUGUUGAAUUAAUAUACCUGUUUCAUAAGAUGCAAAAAUCUAACAAGGAAGUCUGUUCGACUUUUAAAAUAUUACAUGAUUUGAGUUCAGACCGGUGCAAGCCAGGUCGGAUUCUAUCUCCUCAUAAACAAUUUACAGUACGAAAGGACCUACGUUUAUUUAUAUUAUUUAGCAAAUUAUUGCAUUAGACUUAGAACCUAAAUACCUAAAUUAUACUUCUAAUAUUAAACUCCAUUAUCGUAGUAAUUUCAAUCUUAGUAAGAGUAGCCUUCUACACAAUUCUAGAACGAAAAAUUCUAAGAUAUAUUCAAACCCGAAAAGGACCAAAUAAAGUAGGAUUUAUGGGGAUCCUUCAACCUUUCAGAGACGCUAUCAAACUUUUUAACAAAUCUGUAAUUUUUACUAUUCCUAUAAACAAAAUUUUAAUUUUAGCAUCCCCUGCCUUAUCUUUUUUUAUAUCUCUCCUUAUUUGACCCUUAAUUCCUUUUGCUAAAUCAAACAUUUUCGAUAGUCCUUUCAAUACCUUAAUUUUAUUUAUUAUUUCAAGAAUCUCCGUAUAUUUUAUAGUCCUAGUGG